RNAcentral lists this ribosomal RNA (463 nucleotides) under uncultured bacterium. RNAcentral describes it as "partial 16S ribosomal RNA". It matches the Rfam family "Bacterial small subunit ribosomal RNA", at positions 28 to 507 of the family's 1533-position model. The record is from RNAcentral.
GAUGAACGCUGGCGGAGGGAGGAAUACAUGCAAGUCGAACGGAAAGGCCAAAGAUUGCUUGGGUACUCGAGUGGCGAACGGGUGAGUAAAACGUGGGUGAUAUGCCCUGAAAUUCGGGAUAAGCCUGGGAAAAUGGGUCUAAUACAGGAUAGGAUAACUUCGUAGUUGUUGUGGUGGAAAGGAUUUUCGGUGUGGGAUGAGUUAGCGGCCUAUCAGCUUGUUGAUGGGGUAAUGGCCUACUAAGGCGUCGACGGGUAGCCGGCCUGAGAGAGAGUACGGCCACAUUGGUACGGAGAUACGGACCAGGCUCCUACGGGAGACAGCAGUGGGGAAGAUUGCACAAUGUGCGGAAACCUGAUGCAGCGACGCCACGUUAAAGAUGACUGCCUUCGGGUUAUAAUCUGCGUUCGUCAAAGACGAAUUUAUGACGGUAUUUAGAGAAGAAGCACCGGCUAACUACGUG